GUCGGGGUGGUCAGGCGGAUGAAGUCGAUGCCGGCGGCCUGGGCCGGGUCGCACAGUUCGUCGUUGUGCUCCGGCG
RNAcentral lists this transfer RNA (76 nucleotides) under compost metagenome. RNAcentral's name for it is "tRNA-Gly". The record is from RNAcentral.